UUGGUUAAUUGUAAUUUAAUUCAACAUUUGAUUUUAAUCACUCUUUCAAGGUUUAUUUAAUUUUUUUUCAUAUUAGUGUUUGUUUUAUAUUAAAUAAUAUGUACAUAAAUUAGCCUGUGUAGUCAGCCAUUGCGGGAUACACUGCCUAGUUAAUUGUAACUUAAUUUAACAUUUGAUUUCAUUGACUCUUUCAGGUUUUUUUUUUAUAUUAGUGUUUGUUUAAUAUUAAAUAAUAUAUACAUAAAUUAGCCUGUGCAGUCAGCCAUUGCGGGAUACACUGGCUGGUUAAUUGUAAAUAAAUAUAACAUUUGAUUUAAUUGGCUCAUUCAGGGUUUCAUGGUAAGCUACAUUGUUUAGUAGGUUCAGUUUAGUAUUAAAGUAAUUAGCCUGUGUAGUCAGCCAGUGCGGACUGCACAGGAUAUCCCGUGACAAAGCUUCACAUUACGUUGAUGUUCGGGUUACUUUAGAGUAUUACAAAUUAUAAUUGCAAGAGUAUGUAAUGUGCAUAUAAGCGGUUUUUAACUUGUUAAACAUAACAUUAAAGAGGGUGUAUAUUGUUUGGCACAUGUCGGUCCGUCGAUCGGUCUGUACGUCCACCUAAUCCUAUAACACAUGUAAUAUUAUGUUUUGUUAUUACAUAACAGCAUAACAAUUAGCAUACUUUUAUUUCAGAACCGGUCGCCUACAAAGAGAACGAAGUCGGCGUCACCGGAGCACCAGAACCCGGAGACCGGACAGCCUAAGGCUGAGCCAGUGAGUAACGCAUAUGAAGUAUUCAAUAUUGCAGUGAGGCGGUACCUCGACAUGCCAUCGACCUCUGGUACUUUAAUCCAGUACUCGGACGACAUUUAUGUCGUGCACCCUACGGUACCAGAGCCGCCGGUCGCGGAAGGACCCGAGCCACAACCCGGGACGACAUCACGGGAGUGUAUUGCAGACACAGGAUCGUGGUAUGCAUUGCCGACGGGGGCGCAGUGGACGGAGUGGGCGAAGGCAGAGGGAACUUUCAUUUCUGUUGAUUGUAAUUUUGUAAAUUAUUUCAAAUUUAUAGCUGUAUAGUGUACGGCCAUAAAUGUUCUUUACAUU
Dreissena polymorpha is the source of this 1086-nucleotide long non-coding RNA. RefSeq lists it as uncharacterized. The record is from RefSeq and is a predicted model, not a curated record. The transcript is spliced from 2 exons. Lineage: Eukaryota; Metazoa; Mollusca; Bivalvia; Myida; Dreissenidae.